This 1346-nucleotide long non-coding RNA is filed under the name Medicago truncatula (barrel medic). RNAcentral's name for it is "long non-coding RNA (MTRU_LNC008316)". The record is from RNAcentral. Lineage: Eukaryota; Viridiplantae; Streptophyta; Magnoliopsida; Fabales; Fabaceae.
AUGGUGGUGUUGGACCACCACAGAGACCUUUAACCUAAACUACAAAGCAGAUAAGAGGCAUACACACCCGCACACACACAUGCACCUACGACUAUUACACAAAAGCCUAUUUACAUUCUAAGGUCUCUUGAAAAAUAAAUAUGCAUGGUUUACAUUAAGCCUAAAUAUACAUUCUAAUAUGUGCAAUAGAGAUAAAUGACAUAAAGUAAAUAUACACAAAUGAAUCAAUGAUAAAUAUGCAACCUAAUCUAAUACACAUAAAAUCAAUAAAGGGCAGAGGAAAUAAAAAAAAUGCAAGAGAAAUUAAAAUGCAUGAAAAAAGAAACUUAGAAAAGAAAUGUAAGAGGUCAGCAGUUCUCUUUACAACAGAAUCUCUUUUAAUUUGAAGAGCAGCCACGACCUUCUUGCAAUUGGAAUGGAAUAGAACAGCACGACAAACACCUGCAAUUUUCUGGAAAACUUUAUUUGAGUAAGUCCACUGCUACAAUUGAAAGUUAUACCAAUAUAAUAUUGAAACAUAACAGCCAUGGCGAUAGAAAAUUGAUGAUUGGAAUUGGAUUACAACAGCACUGUUAUGAAGCAACAACGAUGAUAAAAACAGCAGCAAUAAUGAACACGGCAGCAACAAAUUUGGAAUUUAAUUAUGCAGCAAUAGUAGAAAAAGGUAUGGAAUAGCAGGUGCAGCCAAUAACAAAGAUGAAACUCAAAGAAACCAAUAUGAAACUUUAAAGAAAAUAAUUAAAUAGGGUAUUGAAUUAACACGGUAGCAUGAAUUGAAACCGAACAAUAAUAGUGCUAGUGAUGAAAUGUUGAUAGUAAUCGAAAUUAAAUAGGAGAAUCACAGCUAAAUGGAAAUUUAAAGGCAUGACAGUAUUAUAUUUUAAUAAAUGGGAUUGCAGCAUUCACAAAGGUUCAUGGCACAAGUAAGGCAAAUUGAAAUAACAAGUAGUUAGCCAUGCAUCAAUAUGAAGAUAAUGGAAUUGCAACAAUAGCGUGAAAGCAAAAACGAAAUACUGUAAUUGAAUUUGAAUGGGUAGUAAAAAUAAUGAAACGGCGAUUGGAAUGGUUUUUGAAAAGAAAAAAAAAAAAAAUAUUGCGGUGGCUAGGUUUUUCGGAAUUGUUGUGAGUGAAAAAUUGUGUUAUUAGGUCAAAUUGUGUGUGUCAAUUGUGUUGUUGCAGGUUGCUUUUAUAGAAAGGGGAUCAGCACUAGGGUUUGUUGAAAGUCUGCUGAAAAUUUGUGGCUUGGGGAGGAGAAUAAGCACUGUUAUUGCUGGAUUGAUAAGGCUGGGAAUUGGAUUGGGAUGGAGAAAGAAAGAAAACGUGUACUGUGUUGUUUUUGGAUGAGG